UACGGAGGGUGCAAGCGUUUAAUCGGAAUUACUGGGCGUAAAGCGUGCGUAGGUGGUUGUGUAAGUUAUAUGUGAAAUCCCUGGGCUUAACCUGGGCAGGUCAUAUAAUACUGCGUGACUCGAGUAUGGGAGAGGGUAGUGGAAUUUCCGGUGUAGCGGUGAAAUGCGUAGAGAUCGGAAAGGAACACCAGUGGCGAAGGGCGGCUACCUGGCCUAAUACUGACACUGAGGCACGAAAGCGUGGGGGAGCAAACAGG
Molecule: ribosomal RNA, 257 nt
Filed under: uncultured bacterium
Lineage: Bacteria
Description: partial 16S ribosomal RNA
Rfam family: Bacterial small subunit ribosomal RNA
Source: RNAcentral